RNAcentral lists this long non-coding RNA (1405 nucleotides) under Homo sapiens (human). RNAcentral describes it as "mir-99a-let-7c cluster host gene". The record is from RNAcentral. Lineage: Eukaryota; Metazoa; Chordata; Mammalia; Primates; Hominidae.
AGUGCAGUGUAGAACCCUUUUCUCAGGCAAAACCUAACAUCUGACCGCACCCUUUUUGCUAUUAAAAAAAAAAAAAAGCUUCUAUUUUUUUCCUCCUGUCGUUAAGAUAAAUUCUCCAGUAGACAACCUCUCCCACUAAUUGUGUAUUAGCAACGUAUUUUAUCUUGAGAGCUUGUACACUGGGCUCUCAACGUGGUGUGGAAGGUAGCCUGUUACAGUGCUGGAUUCAUAAAAGGGCCUUUAUGGUUUGUGAAAGAAUAUCUGUGUGCUUAGGGAGGAAACUUUUUGAUCUGCAGAAAAGCCAGAAGACAUCUAGGACAUCCAUAAAAAUUCAUCAGAGAGCAUUUUACUACUGAGCUGCAAAGAUGACAAGAGCACCUCAAAGGCAGCAGCCUCAAGGAGCAGCCAUGGCCCCAGACUUGUCGCACGGAUGCAGAAAACUUAAUGGAGGAGGCUGAGGAACUCUUCCAGACUCUGGGAAAUAUGUCUCCAAGAAAGCAGACAAUACCCCUGCCCUCUGUGGAAGACUGACAAAUAUACAAGUGCAUAUGUAUAUAUAGACUGUCAGAUGAUGUAAGUAUGAUGAAGAAAAUGAAAGCCAUGUAAUGGGUGAUGGAGCGGGGCAUAGAAAGGUGCCAUUUGCUAUUUUAUAGAAGUAGAUCAGGGAAGACCAUGUCAUGGUAGAUAUCUGAGCAGAGACCAUUCCAGGUGUGGGAGCAUGUCAGAGAGGUAUCCAGGGGCAACAGUUCCAGGCAGAGAAAGCAUGAAGAGCAAGGUGCCCAAGGCCAGAGCAUGUGUGCUUGGCAUUUUCCAGGAGCAGCAAGGAAUUUAGUGUGGCUGAAGGAGAAUGAGCAAGGGAGAAAGCAGCAGGAGAGUGCACAUGAAGCCCUGUGUGCCAUUACGAAGACUCUGCUUUUUUUUUUUUUUUGAGUCGGAGUCUUGCUCUUCCGCCCAGGCCGGAGUGCAGUGGCGCGAUCUCGGCUCACUGCAAGCUCCGCCUCCCGGGUUCACGCCAUUCUCCUGCCUCAGCCUCCCGAGUAGCUGGGACUACAGGCGCCUGCCACCUCGCCUGGCUAAUUUUUUGCAUUUUUUUUAGUAGAGACGGGGUUUCACAGUGUUAGCCAGGAUGGUCUCGAUCUCCUGACCUCGUGAUCCGCCUGCCUCGGCCUCCCAAAGUGCUCACCCUCCCUACCUUUAGCGUCUGCCUCACCUCUUGUCUCUGUGUUCCUCUAUACCUGUGCUGUCUUGUAUGGUCACCACUAGCCACAUGUGUCUACUGAGAACUUGGAAUGGGGCUAGCCCAAAUGGACAAUAUGAGAAAAAUGUAAAAUAUCUCAAUACUUUUCGUAUUGUUUCAUACGUUGAAAUACAAAUAGUUUGAAUAUAUUUGAUUAAGAAAAAUGAA